UACGUAGGGUGCAAGCGUUGUCCGGAAUUAUUGGGCGUAAAGAGCUCGUAGGCGGUCUGUCGCGUCUGCUGUGAAAACCUAGGGCUUAACUCUGGGCGUGCAGUGGGUACGGGCAGGCUAGAGUGCGGUAGGGGGAGACUGGAAUCCCUGGUGUAGCGGUGAAAUGCGCAGAUAUCAGGAGGAACACCGGUGGCGAAGGCGGGUCUCUGGGCCGUAACUGACGCUGAGGAGCGAAAGCAUGGGGAGCGAACAGG
RNAcentral lists this ribosomal RNA (254 nucleotides) under uncultured bacterium. RNAcentral's name for it is "partial 16S ribosomal RNA". It matches the Rfam family "Bacterial small subunit ribosomal RNA", at positions 524 to 776 of the family's 1533-position model. The record is from RNAcentral.